CCCUCUUUAGAGAUCUAGUAGGAUUCGAUAGUAUUUUGGAGCAAUUUUUGCUAACUUGAUUGUACUUGAAGUUUUGCAAAAUGAUAAGCUAAGACAAGUGCCUUGAGGCAGAGGUGCAGGAGUUCAGCAUGAUUCUUGGAUUUCAUUUAAGACAAGGAAGCAGCUCCAGAAAUCAAAGAAUGCCUGCCUCUACUCAUUAAUAAACACAGCUGGGAGGGGAUGGCGGGGUCAAAACCCAGAACUUGCCCUUUAUCCUUCGUCCCAGUGGAGAUGUGUGUUGCUUUUGUGACCCCCAUUGCUGGUGUUUCUGAAGCUUUCCUUACGGGCUUUUAGGAAGCACCCUUCGGCUGUGUGUUCAAAGACUAGCAAGAAGAAUGUGUUUAAGGAUUUUGCUCCUCAGAAACACUAUUGAGAGAAAACAAAGCUAUGGGUGAAGAAGACGAACAGAUGGGACUAGCGGAGGAAAGGAAUCUUAUAAAGAAGCGCAUUGAAUUUCAUGUGGAGGCGCCGUGGAUAGCCGAGGAGUGGGUUUGAUGUGAGCAUCCCAGGGGCAGUACCUAAGUCCAGCCACACACCAGAAGCAGGAGAGGAAAUAGCAGCAGAUAAAAUGUUUCCACAGGGGACUGUUAUCAAAGACUCGGUGCCAGGAAGAUGUCAUCCAAUAGCUGUCCAGAUGUGCUCGGCCCAUCUGCAGCCCGCCACUCCCCGCUUCCCUGCGUUUCAAAUUCAACACCUUCAGGGAUAGUUAGUCCAAGAGACCGGCACUGCAUUUAAUUUGGGAAAACACAUUUUUAGGUCACAAAACUGUGGUGUCAUUUCCUUUUUAGCUUUCUUUAGUUCUCCUCCUGCUCCAGGAAGAUGGAGAUUUACAAUUACAUUUUAUUGUUACUUUUCUCCAUAGCACAGAUGAUAAAUUAUUGAGAAGCCAUUUGGUCUAUAAAAAUGAAAUACACAGCAUCUCCCUUCCCCAGCGGGCUGCUGGGAUUGGCUCCAGCUGCUGUGAACUGUGAGGGCCUUGCAGAUGAUAAAACAAAGCAAAUCCUUUACACAUUAAGGCCUUCUUCCUUUAUAGGGAGAUAGAGGGAACAAUUUCUGAUGGGAGUAUGGACUGUCUGGAUGCUACUGAAGGCCACAGUACUAAAUGUGAGUGUUGGAAUUCAGAACAUGUGCCUAUAUUUUAGCUAGUUCUUAUUUUGGAUUCUAACCAGAAAUAGUCAGAGCUUCCAAUAGUUGACAUGAUUUUAAAUCUUUCUUAUCCUCUUCUACGGCAAUCGUAACUCUGUGGGUCACCUACCCCCUUAAGGUGCUGUAAAAUUAUGAAUUUCCCAUC
Cavia porcellus (domestic guinea pig) is the source of this 1330-nucleotide long non-coding RNA. RefSeq lists it as uncharacterized. The record is from RefSeq and is a predicted model, not a curated record. The transcript is spliced from 4 exons. Lineage: Eukaryota; Metazoa; Chordata; Mammalia; Rodentia; Caviidae.